CUGUGCUAGAUGGGGAGGUAGCGGUGCCCUGUAACCCGCAACCCGCUAUAGCGGGGUUGAAUUCCUGUCUUAGGUUUACACAUGUAAGGUCUUGGCCUUGGUAAGUAAUGAGGAUGAUUGGGUCCUGCGCAACGGAAAUCCAUGAACCCUGUCAGAUCCGGAAGGAAGCAGCAGUAAGUGGACAUUUUCGUGUGCCGCGGGGAAGCCUGAUCGGAGUUAACUGCCCGGUUCCCGCUUAUAGGUGUAAAUCAAAGUCAGGUGCACAG
This 266-nucleotide signal recognition particle RNA is filed under the name Bacillota bacterium. RNAcentral's name for it is "signal recognition particle sRNA large type". It matches the Rfam family "Bacterial large signal recognition particle RNA". From Rfam's summary of the family: The signal recognition particle (SRP) is a universally conserved ribonucleoprotein involved in the co-translational targeting of proteins to membranes. Archaeal SRP consists of a 7S RNA and homologues of the eukaryotic SRP19 and SRP54 proteins. In most bacteria, the SRP consists of a 4.5S RNA and the Ffh protein (a homologue of the eukaryotic SRP54 protein). Lineage: Bacteria; Bacillati; Bacillota. The record is from RNAcentral.